Long non-coding RNA from Tarenaya hassleriana, 209 nucleotides. RefSeq lists it as uncharacterized. The transcript has 2 exons. Lineage: Eukaryota; Viridiplantae; Streptophyta; Magnoliopsida; Brassicales; Cleomaceae. The record is from RefSeq and is a predicted model, not a curated record.
CCGAAUUCCUGGCAUGGCAAUGGACUGGCAAGGUGCACCGGCAAGCCCUAGUUCUUACACCGUGAAAAGGAUAUUGCGUCUGGAGAUUCCAUUCAAUUUUGUGGGAAGGCUUCUUGGCCCUAGAGGCAACUCAUUGAAACGCGUAGAAGCGACAACGGGCUGCCGCGUGUACAUCAGAGGGAAAGGAUCGAUUAAGGAUCCAGAGAAGG